Molecule: ribosomal RNA, 460 nt
Filed under: uncultured bacterium
Lineage: Bacteria
Description: partial 16S ribosomal RNA
Rfam family: Bacterial small subunit ribosomal RNA
Source: RNAcentral
CCUACGGGAGGCUGCAGUGAGGAAUAUUGGUCAAUGGACGCAAGCCUGAACCAGCCAUGCCGCGUGCAGGAUGACGGCUCUAUGAGUUGUAAACUGCUUUUGUACGAGGGUAAACCCCGAUACGUGUAUCGGGUUGAAAGUAUCGUACGAAUAAGGAUCGGCUAACUCCGUGCCAGCAGCCGCGGUAAUACGGAGGAUCCGAGCGUUAUCCGGAUUUAUUGGGUUUAAAGGGUGCGUAGGCGGUUUGAUAAGUUAGAGGUGAAAUGUCGGGGCUCAACCCCGAAACUGCCUCUAAUACUGUUGGACUAGAGAAUAGUUGCGGUAGGCGGAAUGUAUGGUGUAGCGGUGAAAUGCUUAGAGAUCAUACAGAACACCGAUUGCGAAGGCAGCUUACCAAACCAUAUCUGACGUUGAGGCACGAAAGCGUGGGUAGCAAACAGGAUUAGAUACCCCUGUAGUC